AUAAGGAGUCUACCUCCCAAAGAGAUCCUGAAGACAGCAAAUCACAAAAGAGUUCGAAGGUACUGUGUCUUCUUGUGAUUUGGAAAUACCUGAUUUCAGUCAUGUUAAAACAAAAUUGGUGUUUGCUUGAAGGUAUAAAUUGACUUGAGAGACAGCUACUUUCAUAAGACAGACAGAUAAACAUUUUAGCUAUCUUGAGAAGGGGUGGUGUGAUAUCUCUUUGAGGCAUUGAUAUGCAUUUCCCUGGUGGUUGGUGAAGUUGAACAUACUUUUAUAUUUAUUGCCAUUUCUAUCUCUUAUUUUGAGACAGGUCUGUUGAGGUGCUGUGUCCAUUUCGGAACUAGAUUUGUUGUUUCUUCAUAUACUCUUGACGAUAUUUCUUAUCUGGGAAAGAGUGGGAUACCUAGUACCUAUGUAAUACAAGCUUCCCCUUACUUAUCUCAAGCUACGUAAAGGAGAGGUUUUGAGGCUAUCUUGACAUUUGCUUCAGCCAACUCUCUUGCCUUAGGACCUAGGAAAAAAGAAUUAGGAGCUAAACCCUUGUCCCAGUGGUGAAGAAAUCAGAUGAGCUAUCUGCCUCACACCUCGGAUGGCUUUCUGUCCUUAUUUUGUACCCAGUCUGACUCUCAGCCAGAAAUUAAGCAAUAUUUCCUGACCUUCCAAGACUGAAUUGAGGAUUCUGUUUUCUGCCUUUUCUUCAAGUAUAUUGACUUGAGUGGCAGAAAUAGUGGUUUAAACUUUCCUGUUCUCUUUUCCCAUGUCUACCUCUAACUGAACAUGGGGUAGAAUCUGCUCUGUGUUUAUAUGCUUAACUGAGCAUGGGGUAGAAUCUAUUGUUUGUGUGUAUGCUCAACCUUUGCAAGGACUGUGCCUGUGACAUGACACACAUAGUAAAUCCUGUCUCACUGAAUGAGUGGCUGAGGGGUUGAGAACUUGGGUGAUUGUUGAAUUUGUAUUUUAUCUUCCUGCAGGAAGGAAUGUCAACCGUAGCGAGUAAGAAGGGCUUAAAAGAUAUUGCCAUCACUCAAGUUGCUCCACACCAGCCAGUGAAUAAAUAUGCGUUCAACUAUGAUCGUGGAUUGGACAAUGAUAAGGAGUCUACCUCCCAAAGAGAUCCUGAAGACAGCAAAUCACAAAAGAGUUCGAAGGAGGAAUCCUCUGCAGAACCUCUAAAGAGGGAAGAAGUUGCAGUGCCUAUCUCCGGAAUAAGUGAUGAAGCUGUAGAAUCACCGUGGGAUUCUGAGGAAGAAACAUCAAGUGGAAAGGGUGAAGUUCGUGCUGGCACUGGAGGUGUCCCAGAAGGAGAUAUUCUGGAUUAUUUCCUGUCAUGUAGUUGGGCAAGGAUAGCCAAAGAGAGAAAAGCGUCAAUGGCAUCAAGUGGAGAUACUGAAAAGGAUGUGGCUGUCAGUCUAAGUGCACAAGAGCAUGCAAAGGACACAUUAUCUGGUAUUGCUGGAGUGCCAGAAGACAAAACUAUUGGUCAGUAUCUAUCAAUGAAACACUGUUUAAGUACUAAUGUCUGAACUGAAAUGAUUUCCAUUAUUUUGAUGAUUUUUCUUUCGCUAUUUGUUUCUAUGUCCAACUCAACCUGGUUUAAAGUGCUGAUUGAACAAGCAGAAAUUCUUUUUUUUUUAAUUUAUGUUUUUAUCAGAAAGAGAUACAGAGAGGGAGAGGUGGAGUCAGAGGCAUAGAGGCAGAGUGUGUGUGUGAGAGAGAGAGAAAGAAAGAAAGAGAGAGAGUGUGUGCAAGAGAGACAGAGAGGGAGAGAGAGAGAUCUUGCAUCUGCUCGUUCACUCCCCAAAUGGCCACAAUGGGCAGGACUGGGUCAGGCCAAAGCCAGGAUCCAGAAGCAUCUUCUGGGACUCCCAUGUACGUGCAAGGGGCCAAAGACUCAGGCUAUCUUGUAUUGCUUACCCAGGUACAUUAGCAGAGAGCUGGAUCAGAAGUGGGGCCACUGGAACUUGCACCCGUAGCCAUAUGGUAUGCCAUUGCUGAAUCGCCGUGGCUCUACCUGCUAUGCCAGAGCACUGGCCCUCUAUCUGAAAUUCUUUAUUGCUGUUACUUAAAUUUUAGUAUAUUAAGAAUGACUCAGCUGAAUGUGGAAAUUUUUAAAAGCAAUAGUUGGGGCUGGCGAUAUGGUGUAGUGGGUAAAGCCCCCGCCUGCAGUGCUGGCAUCUCAUAUGGGCACUGGUUCAAGUGCCAGCUGCUCUACUUCCCAUCCAGAUAUCUGCUAUGGCCUGGGAAAGUAGAAGAUGAUGCAAGACCUUGGGCCCCUGCGCCCACAUGCCCACAUGCCCACAUUGGAGACCCAUAAGAAGCUGCUGGCUCCUGGUUGCAGAUUGGCAUAGCUCUUGCUGUUGCAGCCAACAGGGAGUGAACCAGUGGAUGGAAGACCUCUCUCUCUCUGUCUCUCUCGGUAUAACUCUGACUUUCAAAUAAAUUAAAAUAUCUUUUAAAAAAAAGCA
Molecule: long non-coding RNA, 2465 nt
Filed under: Oryctolagus cuniculus (rabbit)
Lineage: Eukaryota; Metazoa; Chordata; Mammalia; Lagomorpha; Leporidae
Description: lncRNA (ENSOCUG00000035745.1)
Source: RNAcentral